GACGAACGCUGGCGGCGUGCCUAAUACAUGCAAGUAGGACGCAGUUGCGAACGGGUGAGUAACGCGUAGGUAACUACCUAUUAGAGGGGGAUAACUAUUGGAAACGAUAGCUAAUACCGCCUACUAGUAGAUGGACCUGCGUUGUAUUAGCUAGUAGGUAGGGUAAUGGCCUACCUAGGCCACGAUACAUAACCGACUGUGAAGGUUGAGCGGCAACGAUGGGCAUGGGACACGGCCCAGACUCCUACGGGAGGCAGCAGUAGGGAAGCGUGGGAAAUGGGGGGAACCCGGACCGAGCAACGCCGAGGGAGUGAAGAAGGUUUGCGGAUCGUAAAGCUCUGUUGUUAAGGAAGCGGUACUUAACCAGAAAGGGACGGCUAACUACGUGCCAGCCGCCGCGGUAAUUC
Molecule: ribosomal RNA, 407 nt
Filed under: uncultured bacterium
Lineage: Bacteria
Description: partial 16S ribosomal RNA
Rfam family: Bacterial small subunit ribosomal RNA
Source: RNAcentral